RNAcentral lists this ribosomal RNA (78 nucleotides) under Agrobacterium tumefaciens. Its description in RNAcentral is "partial 16S ribosomal RNA". It matches the Rfam family "Bacterial small subunit ribosomal RNA", at positions 1462 to 1533 of the family's 1533-position model. RNAcentral also lists the same sequence under 2 other names. Lineage: Bacteria; Pseudomonadati; Pseudomonadota; Alphaproteobacteria; Hyphomicrobiales; Rhizobiaceae. The record is from RNAcentral.
GUAGGGUCAGCGACUGGGGUGAAGUCGUAACAAGGUAGCCGUAGGGGAACCUGCGGCUGGAUCACCUCCUUUCUAAGG